UAACGGUAAAAAAUUCCCGGCAAAAUUUUGACAGUUUCUUUUCCAAAAUUUUAGGUGCAUUUAAAAAAACGUGAUUGAGCAGCAAUUCAGUUUUCCCCAAAGUUUUCAAGCACAUAUGAAAAAAAUAAAUUACAGAAACGUGGAUUCAACAACGAUUCAGUUUUUACCCAAAUUCUCCCUCUCCCACACGUUCUCUUUCUCCAUCUUCAUCUCCCACACGUUCUCUCACAAUUACUACAGCAACGUUCUGGAUUUAGCAAAGAAUUUCACCGCAUUCGCUUUCAGAAAUCGUUACCGCAAUGGAUUCCGCACGAAGACGGGGAAGAAGUCUUCUUGUCAGGUGAUUGAGGGGCACGGCCCAAAGAUGACUCUGAACUUCCACAUCACAAGAAGGUUGGAGAAGGAGCUAAUGGCUCUACUGGUAUCCUUAAUAUGGAGAAAGUAAUAGAAGUUGGGAAGAAAGACACAUAUCUAGGUAGCCAGACAGUUGUUGAUAAGCUUUUAUAUUUGUUUCAGUGCAAGCAGCAACAACGACAUCUACAACAGUUAUCUGCCUGGUGCAAUCUGCAUCCUCUUAUAAUUUUUCUCUUCUUUUUCCUAUCUUAGUUGAAUAAUAUUAAGGUGUAGUGCUAUACCAUGAGGAUUCCAUCCUCUAAGGUAUUUGUUAUUUAUAAAAAGUUUACAUGUAUAGAUGUGUGUAUAUGUUUCAGUAAAUGAUAGGUUUUUAGUUUGUGUUUUCAUUGUAAGUCAUGCUACGGGAUAAUUUUAAAUUCUUUAAUCUACACCAUAAAUAUAUGAUUUAGUGGAUAUUUUUCUAAAAUUAAAAUUAUCAUAAAUGAUCAUAGUGGUAGGCUACGACCAUAUUGUCGAAGAGUGAUUAACAUUGAAAAGGUUCCUAUUCUAUUUUGAAAUCUCUUUUAUAUAAUAGUUUCAAAAACAAUGGUGAAACGCAUCCAAAUGGGUGGUUUUAUAAUUCAUACUCAUGUUUCUAUUCGCGUUGAUGUUGAUGCAAUGUUUGAUCCGGAUAAGGCGAGCAUGGGGUGGGAAUUAUCGGUCGCAACCAUGAAGGAAAAGUGAUUGUGGCAGCGGCGAAGAAGAUGAACCCAGUAUCGAGUGCUAUGAUGGCGGAGAUCAUGAUGAUCAUGCAGGGCAUUCUGCUGUGUGUGGAGCACGAGCUUGCACCGGUUGAGAUGUUCACCUGCUCGGUGCUUGCGGCCAGAACCAUGGUGGAUGAGAGGAUGAGGAAGAGAAAGCGCGGUGUCUACCCGAUGAUCUUAGAGACAUUUUACAAAUGGCAAGACAAAAUAUUUUACUGAGCAUCAACCAUGUGUAUGGAGAGGCAAAUGUGGCAGCACAUAGACUCGCCCAGCAUGCGAGAUUAAGUUCAGAGUUUGUUAGCUGGACUCACUGGUUGUAUUGAUCAAUAUAUGAGCUCUUCUCCCUUCUCAAAAACAAAUACUAGAUGUUAGGAUUUUUACAUUCUCAUGUAAAUAUAUUUACGUUUGGAUUUUGAGAAAUGAAUGUGCUUCAUUAAUAUUUGCAUAAAA
Molecule: long non-coding RNA, 1547 nt
Organism: Salvia miltiorrhiza (redroot sage)
Lineage: Eukaryota; Viridiplantae; Streptophyta; Magnoliopsida; Lamiales; Lamiaceae
Exons: 3
Source: RefSeq, a predicted model, not a curated record